UGUGAUUUUAGGUCUCGUUGGUGACCAGCGGAGGGUCAUUACCGAGUUAUACAACUCCCAAACCCACUGUGAACCUUACCUCAGUUGCCUCGGCGGGAACGCCCCGGCCGCCUGCCCCCGCGCCGGCGCCGGACCCAGGCGCCCGCCGCAGGGACCCCAAACUCUCUUGCAUUACGCCCAGCGGGCGGAAUUUCUUCUCUGAGUUGCACAAGCAAAAACAAAUGAAUCAAAACUUUCAACAACGGAUCUCUUGGUUCUGGCAUCGAUGAAGAACGCAGCGAAAUGCGAUAAGUAAUGUGAAUUGCAGAAUUCAGUGAAUCAUCGAAUCUUUGAACGCACAUUGCGCCCGCCAGCAUUCUGGCGGGCAUGCCUGUUCGAGCGUCAUUUCAACCCUCGAGCCCCCCCCGGGGGCCUCGGUGUUGGGGGACGGCACACCAGCCGCCCCCGAAAUGCAGUGGCGACCCCGCCGCAGCCUCCCCUGCGUAGUAGCACACACCUCGCACCGGAGCGCGGAGGCGGUCACGCCGUAAAACGCCCAACUUUCUUAGAGUUGACCUCGGAUCAGGUAGGAAUACCCGCUGAACUUAAGCAUAUCAAUAAGCGGAGGAAAAGAAACCAACAGGGAUUGCCCGUAAAAC
The sequence is a ribosomal RNA, 638 nucleotides long. The stretch from base 231 to 384 matches the Rfam family "5.8S ribosomal RNA".